UUCGCCCUUAGAGUUUGAUCCUGGCUCAGGAUGAACGCUGGCGGCGUGCUUAACACAUGCAAGUCGAACGGGGCACCCCUGAAGGAGUUUUCGGACAACUGAAGGGAAUGCUUAGUGGCGGACGGGUGAGUAACGCGUGAGUAACCUGCCUUGGAGUGGGGAAUAACAGUUGGAAACAGCUGCUAAUACCGCAUGAUGCAGUUGAGUCGCAUGGCUCUGACUGCCAAAGAUUUAUCGCUCUGAGAUGGACUCGCGUCUGAUUAGCUAGUUGGCGGGGUAACGGCCCACCAAGGCGACGAUCAGUAGCCGGACUGAGAGGUUGGCCGGCCACAUUGGGACUGAGACACGGCCCAGACUCCUACGGGAGGCAGCAGUGGGGAAUAUUGGGCAAUGGGCGCAAGCCUGACCCAGCAACGCCGCGUGAAGGAAGAAGGCUUUCGGGUUGUAAACUUCUUUUCUCAGGGACGAAGAAAGUGACGGUACCUGAGGAAUAAGCCACGGCUAACUACGUGCCAGCAGCCGCGGUAAUACGUAGGUGGCAAGCGUUAUCCGGAUUUACUGGGUGUAAAGGGCGUGUAGGCGGGAGUGCAAGUCAGAUGUGAAAACAACGGGCUCAACCUGUGGCCUGCAUUUGAAACUGUACUUCUUGAGUACUGGAGAGGCAGACGGAAUUCCUAGUGUAGCGGUGAAAUGCGUAGAUAUUAGGAGGAACACCAGUGGCGAAGGCGGUCUGCUGGACAGCAACUGACGCUGAGGCGCGAAAGCGUGGGGAGCAAACAGGAUUAGAUACCCUGGUAGUCCACGCUGUAAACGAUGGAUACUAGGUGGGGGGGGACUGACCCCCUCCGUGCCGCAGUUAACACAAUAAGUAUCCCACCUGGGGGAGUACGAUCGCAAGGUUGAAACUCAAAGGAAUUGACGGGGGCCCGCACAAGCGGUGGAGUAUGUGGUUUAAUUCGAAGCAACGCGAAGAACCUUACCAGGGCCUGACAUCCCGAGGCCAGACCUAGAGAUAGGUCCUUCUCUUCGGAGACCUCGGUGACAGGUGGUGCAUGGUUGUCGUCAGCUCGUGUUGUGAGAUGUUGGGUUAAGUCCCGCAACGAGCGCAACCCUUAUUGUUAGUUGCUACGCAAGAGCACUCUAGCGAGACUGCCGUUGAAAAAACGGAGGAAGGUGGGGACGACGUCAAAUCAUCAUGCCCCUUAUGUCCUGGGCCACACACGUACUACAAUGGUGGUCAACAGAGGGAAGCAAAACCGCGAGGUGGAGCAAAUCCCUAAAAGCCAUCCCAGUUCGGAUCGCAGGCUGCAACCCGCCUGCGUGAAGUUGGAAUCGCUAGUAAUCGCGGAUCAGCAUGCCGCGGUGAAUACGUUCCCGGGCCUUGCACACACCGCCCGUCA
Molecule: ribosomal RNA, 1400 nt
Filed under: uncultured bacterium
Lineage: Bacteria
Description: 16S ribosomal RNA
Rfam family: Bacterial small subunit ribosomal RNA
Source: RNAcentral